RNAcentral lists this ribosomal RNA (504 nucleotides) under uncultured bacterium. RNAcentral's name for it is "bacterial SSU rRNA". It matches the Rfam family "Bacterial small subunit ribosomal RNA", at positions 15 to 507 of the family's 1533-position model. The record is from RNAcentral.
GAUCCUGGCUCAGGAUGAACGCUAGCUACAGGCUUAACACAUGCAAGUCGAGGGGUAACAAGGGAAGAGCUUGCUUUUUCUGUUGACGACCGGCGCACGGGUGAGUAACACGUAUCCAACCUACCUUUCACUCAGGGAUAGCUCUUCGAAAGAAGGAUUAAUACCUGAUAUAAUACAUAAGUCUCCUGACUGAUGUAUGAAAGAUUUUAUCGGUGUUAGAUGGGGAUGCGUUCCAUUAGAUAGUUGGUGAGGUAACGGCUCACCAAAUCAGCGAUGGAUAGGGGUUCUGAGAGGAAGACCCCCCACAUUGGGACUGAGACACGGCCCAAACUCCUACGGGAGGCAGCAGUGAGGAAUAUUGGUCAAUGGACGCGAGUCUGAACCAGCCAAGUAGCGUGAAGGAUGACUGCCCUAUGGGUUGUAAACUUCUUUUGUUAGGGAAUAAAGUGCACCACGUGUGGUGUUUUGUAUGUACCUUUCGAAUAAGGAUCGGCUAACUCCGUG